Molecule: ribosomal RNA, 467 nt
Filed under: uncultured bacterium
Lineage: Bacteria
Description: partial 16S ribosomal RNA
Rfam family: Bacterial small subunit ribosomal RNA
Source: RNAcentral
GACGAACGCUGGCGGCGUGCUUAACACAUGCAAGUCGAACGGAAAGGCCCUGCUUUUGUGGGGUGCUCGAGUGGCGAACGGGUGAGUAACACGUGAGUAACCUGCCCUUGACUUUGGGAUAACUUCAGGAAACUGGGGCUAAUACCGGAUAGGAGCUCCUGCUGCAUGGUGGGGGUUGGAAAGUUUCGGCGGUUGGGGAUGGACUCGCGGCUUAUCAGCUUGUUGGUGGGGUAGUGGCUUACCAAGGCUUUGACGGGUAGCCGGCCUGAGAGGGUGACCGGCCACAUUGGGACUGAGAUACGGCCCAGACUCCUACGGGAGGCAGCAGUGGAGAAGAUUGCACAAUGGGCGGAAGCCUGAUGCAGCAACGCCGCGUGCGGGAUGACGGCCUUCGGGUUGUAAACCGCUUUCGCCUGUGACGAAGCGUGAGUGACGGUAAUGGGUAAAGAAGCACCGGCUAACUACGU